Molecule: small nuclear RNA, 119 nt
Gene: U5
Rfam family: U5 spliceosomal RNA
About the family: U5 RNA is a component of both types of known spliceosome. The precise function of this molecule is unknown, though it is known that the 5' loop is required for splice site selection and p220 binding, and that both the 3' stem-loop and the Sm site are important for Sm protein binding and cap methylation.
Source: Ensembl
CAACUCUGGUUUCUCUUCAAUCACGCACAGUUUUUCGCGCCUUUUACUAAAGACUUCCGUGGAGAGCAACGCUCACGAGUUCAACGUAUUUUUGGACGGGCUUUGCUCCCGGCAGAGCC